This 500-nucleotide ribosomal RNA is filed under the name uncultured bacterium. RNAcentral's name for it is "partial 16S ribosomal RNA". It matches the Rfam family "Bacterial small subunit ribosomal RNA", at positions 30 to 523 of the family's 1533-position model. The record is from RNAcentral.
AUUGAACGCUGGCGGCAUGCCUUACACAUGCAAGUCGAACGGCAGCACGGACUUCGGUCUGGUGGCGAGUGGCGAACGGGUGAGUAAUGCAUCGGAACGUACCCGGUAGUGGGGGAUAACUACCCGAAAGGGUGGCUAAUACCGCAUAUACUGUGCGCAGGAAAGCAGGGGACCUUCGGGCCUUGUGCUACCGGAGCGGCCGAUGUCAGAUUAGGUAGUUGGUGGGGUAACGGCCUACCAAGCCUGCGAUCUGUAGCGGGUCUGAGAGGAUGAUCCGCCACACUGGGACUGAGACACGGCCCAGACUCCUACGGGAGGCAGCAGUGGGGAAUUUUGGACAAUGGGCGCAAGCCUGAUCCAGCCAUGCCGCGUGAGUGAAGAAGGCCUUCGGGUUGUAAAGCUCUUUCGGACGGAAAGAAAUCGCGCAGGCUAAUACCCUGUGCGGAUGACGGUACCGUCAUAAGAAGCACCGGCUAACUACGUGCCAGCAGCCGCCGUAA